GCAGUACCUGCCGUGUCCUCUGGGGAGAACUCCCACGCCUUGGGACCCGGCUCAGCACGGUGAAAGGGCCCCAUCUGAGGUGUUCCCUGACCUUUCCUACCCCCUCUAAUGUCCAAACUAUUGGGCCUCCCCUGUUGCCUCCCCUUGAUGAAAUAAUGAUAUUUUGGGGGGCUUUGAUUGAAAAAACAGACAGGGAUUUGAGGACUUCUGAUCUUACCCCACAGAGUGGAGUUGGGGUGGGACCGGCUGGGCUGGGGUGUCGUUCACCACACAGAGUAACUGGCUUGAGGAGGUCUGUGUGGGAGUGCACCGAGGCUACCAGCACAGUGGGGGGACCCAGGCUGGUCCCCCCAUUCUCCAGCUUCCUGCUCUUGAAGCCUCCUUCCUGGCCUUCUGCAGCAGGGCCCAGUGGGUCUGGGGGCUCCCCGCCUGACUGGUUCUGUGGCGACCACUGUGCCCCAGUGCCUACCUGUGUAUCUGACUUCGCUCCCGAGUCUUCACUCGUCUAAACGCUGCAGGGGAGACGACUAACUGGUAGAAAGCCUGACUCGAUCAUUCUGAAGGCAGUGCAUCUGGGCCCCAGGCGGGGUCUCUGUAUCAGGAGCGAUAUGAGGCCGGCCAGGAGGGACCGGCCUUCACAGAUGGACAGGUAGGAACGGCUUGUAACCGUCCUGUUUAUCACGUGUAAAGGAGUUGCUUUUAAGUUUAAAGAUAUUUGAGAGUCGUUUGCUCCCAGUGACUGCGUUUUACCCCCCUUCUUUUCUUCCUGGAGAUGCUGUGGGGGUCUUUUGUUUUUCUCAUGGUCCAUCCCUCCUCCAGCCUCGCUUCCUGUCCCCACACAGUCAUUCCUCAAACAUGUCAUGUGUGCCUGCCACACGCUGGCAUUGCCCCCAGCUCAGGGCCUUCAGUGAGGGAGGAGGCAGGGUCCCUGCCAUGCCGGAGCCCCCAGAGAUGAGCAGUUCUGGUGCUGACCCUGUGUGACAAGUGCUGAGAGGGAGGCCGGGAUGGGGGUGCCGUGAGUGCCUGCCCCCAGGGGCUCCUCACUAAGCCGGGGGAGGGCGGAGGGCGGGCUCCCCCCCUGAGAAAGUCACACUAGACUUAAGGAUGAGUUUGGUUUAGAAUCCACUCACAGGCACAAUUAUGAGUGAGAUUUGGGAACCUAUGCAGGACAAUAGUCCUACCCAGCGGGUAAGGUUCACCUUCCUUUUCUCUGGGAGCCCUUCUGUGACUCUUGCUCUGCUGCUCUCUGAGCUCCUGCAGCCCUGACACCUCCAGUCACCCUUUCCAGUGCCUGAGUGACAGGCUCCCUGCCUCUGAGACCAUGGCCAAGGUCCUUCUUGGGGUCUCUCUCUAUCCCUGGUCCUCUAGGUUAGAGUGUGUUCCUUUGAGCGGGCCCCACAUCCUUCUCUUUCCUGGUGGCCCAGGAAAGCUCACAGGCUGCAGGGGCCAAGCUCUUCAAGGGCUCAGUGGUUUGACUUGUACACACUCCGGCUUGGGGGCUUCUCCAACCAAAGCACGCAAACCAAGUGAGGAACCGAGAGAUGGAAGACGUGGAAGGAAUCUACCACACAAAAACGGAACGAAACCCCAGACAAAACUAAAAGGCAAAUGACACGCUGGGGAGGAUGUUUGGAAACAUGAUAAACUAAGGAUUAAUAUUCUCAAAAAAGCAUUUGAUACAAAUCAGUAAGACGAACGUGAAGAUCCUGAUAGACAAUUUGCAGGCGACGUCCCGGUGGUUCACGUGUCUACAUGGGAAGACGCGUUCAACCCCUCGUAAGCAGAAAUGGAAACGCAAAUAGCAUGUUUCCACGUAUCGAAUUUGCAAAAGUGAGAGAAAGAAUAGCCAAGGGGAAGACCUGGAUGUCGGGAAACGGGCGCCCUCACGUAGCGCUGACAGCCGUGGUCACCAGUAGAGCUUCUGGAAGCACUUUGGGAGUGGGUCUCAACAGCCUGAGGAAUAUGCAUUCUCCACCCACGAAUCGCACUUCUGAGAACCUGUCUCAGUCACGGAUAGGGACACGGGGAAUUCCUCAUGAGAUCAUGUUAAGCAACGAAAUAACCAACAGAUGCAUGGAAAGACGGCUUCUCUGAAGAGCGCUGUGUCCUGCUCAGAGAAACUAGCCAGGGUCCAGGCACCCGUGGACUCCAGGCCAACCUGGCCAGGGCGAAGCUUUGCGUUCCAGCACCACCCCCUCUCCCUCAGCCUCGGUGGCCUCCCUCGGGUCAGUCUGCACUGGCCAGAAGGCUUGAAGGGUGAAGAGAUAAAGAAGUGUGGCCGAGAAGGGACACUGCUGAGUAAAUACAACCAGCAAUACCACAAGCUGUUUAAGGACGUCCCCUUGGAGGAGGUGGUUCUCAAAGUGUGUUCCUGUGCCCUCCAGAGAGACCUCCUUCUCCAGGGCCGGCUUUACAUCUCCCCCAACUGGCUCUGCUUCCAUGCCAGCCUCUUUGGCAAGGAUAUAAAGGUGGUCAUUCCCGUGGUGUCUGUACAAAUGAUCAAAAAACACAAGAUGGCGCGGCUUCUUCCCAAUGGCCUGGCCAUCACCACCAACACCAGCCAGAAGUACAUCUUUGUGUCACUGCUUUCCCGGGACAGCGUGUAUGACAUGCUGCGGAGGGUCUGCACACACCUCCAGCCUUCCAGCAAGAAGAGCCUGAGUGUAAGAGAAUUUCCAGAGGAACCUGAGUGCGAGUCUCUGGAAGUCCUCAUCCCUGAGAUGAAGUGGAGAAAAGUGUGCCCUGCCUCCAGGUCCCUGUCCCUCCCAGACAACAUCCCUUGUAUCCCUCGGGCGUCCAUGGACUCCACGGACAGCUUCUUUCCCUCCAGGACGCCUCCAGGGUCUGAGAAGGCCGUCUGUGAGGAGGAGAAGCUGGAGGAGGAGCCCAGGAGCGGCGGGGAGCUGAGGCUCUGGGAUUACCAGCUCCUCAAGGUCAUCUUUGUGCUGAUCUGCCUCUUGGUCAUGUCCUCAUCCUAUCUGGCGUUCCGCAUCUCCCGGCUGGAACAGCAGUUAUGCUCCCUGAAUUGGGAUGGCCCAGUCCCUGGGCACAGGCCCUUUCUCUGAUCUGGGAAUCUCCUGUGUGCAGGUAACAGCCACCUUGGCUUCUCCAAGAAGAAUGCUCUGGGUGCUAAGUUUCCACCAGUGACCCCCGUGGUUUAUGCUGCUGUUGUGCUGAGGCUGAGUAUGAAGGAAAAUACUCCAGAUCCUUCCUCCGCCCCUCAACCCUUAUCCCUCCUGUUUACAAAGCUCCUACAAUUUGGGGACUCAGACACAAAGCCAGAUUCUUGGAACCAGCUGAGAAAUUCUGUAUACUAAGCUUCAGCAAGCACUUGGAAAAAGAAAAUCAACUUGUUCCUUGGAAACAAUGUGGCACAGAGGCAGAGCACUAGCAGCCACCCAAGGGACAAAGGCAAUCUUUUGAUACCUGGAAUGCAGCUCUCCACGGUCACGUGGCUCACUGCAGUAGCGGGACAGAGGCCUGGACCCAAACCACCAGUGGGGCUCUGCUCUCUCCCAACAUCCGGUGCUCUCACUUGGGCCCCUGAGAGUCCCUGUUCUGGGGCCCAAACGGCUCCUCUGCAGGAGGCUGGGCACCUGUCAGGCCAAGGGCAGACUGGGGAAGUGAGGGGAAGCUAUGAACAAGGAGAGGAGGGUGUGUAGCUAGGGUUCCAGCCCGAGGGGAAGGUUCAUGCCCUGUGCUGAGGCUCCGUUCUGGCCCCUCAUGAGGAGGCUGGCGGAACCCAGAGGACAGGACCACGGCAGAGGACGGCGGCAGGGGCUGCGAAGGAGGGCAGAGGUCCAGCAUUCUGUGUCCUUAGCCGCCACUUCCUGGUGAGGCAGGUAAACGGGGCCUGUGAUCACUGUGGUCACAGGCCUGGUAUGCAGCUUCCCCUGUGUGCUCAGACAGUUCUGAGGUGCCCCAGGGGGCAAGUAGGGGAUGGGGGGAUAGGCGACGGGAAGGUCGGAGGCUUUGAUUUGAGCUCCGGCUUUGUACUCCCUGCCUGUCUGCCUGCAUGAGAGGCCAUGACCAAUAGCGGCCUGGUGGGGGGUGUGGCUGGGCAGCGGGGUGUGAUGGUGUUGGGGCCCCACAGGGCAGAGCUCACGAGUCUCACCUGCGAUCAGUGAGUCGCAGGCCAUGGGGGAGGGUCCUCCGCUCCAUGAAUGAGGUGGGGGUGUCCAAGGUGGGCCUGGUAUGGUGCAGGGACUGGGUCAAGGGGUUCUGUCUGAUACCUCUGGGGACAAGAGAGGUAGGGGAGGGGAAGAGUGGACACAGUGGUAGCUUUGCCUUAGAGACUCCUCCAUCUCUGCCAGGCCUCCUUUCUUCUAAACAGCUGCUCUGUGCCUCAGGCUCUGCCUGCUUUCCCUGGGGCUGUAAUAUGCUAAGACUGCCUUUGAGGGUUCUAGAAGGUUCUUAGUGAGGAGGUCAGAGGUAUCAGGCAAAGUCACUGGUGAUGGGGUGAGUGGGGCCAGAAACAGUCGCUGCUUUUCCUUCUUCAAACACCUGAGAGGUUAAUCAGGGAGAAAUCCAAGCGGAAAUUCGUUAUCGUGGAGCCAUGAUUGUCCUGUGUAUGGCAAACCCAAGUGAGGAUGUGAGGGAUGGUCUGUGGGUGACCAGUCCCUAAGCUCAGCCUAGCGGUCUCUUUGUCCUCCCCCGCUGCAGGUUCUAGGAUUAAGCUUAGGGCCUGCCUGGGGGGGUUGUUUGUACCAUAUCUUUGUGUGUCAGGUGAACUCAUAUUUUCUGUUCUCCCCACAGCACCACACGGGAUAAAACCCCAUCCUUUUUUUGGAACCCGCCCCCUUCGUCACUCCUUUGUAUCACAUUUUCAGGGAAAUAGUCCUACUUGCCCCAGUGUCUCCCCGCCUUGGUCCUUGCUGAAGGGCAGGAAGAAUACGUCCAUUCUCUGAGCCUUGCUAGAUUGAGCCAGAGGCUCAUGAGAGGCCACCAGAAGUGCCAAGUCAUGGGUAGCUGUGCCAACAUGCUGCUGAACCUGGUCCCCAGCCAUGCCCCAGGCUCAGAAAGGGCAAGAGGCCUGCUAUAGGGCAGGUGGCUCUGGAGGUCCUCUCGGGUCCAGGGAUUUCAGUGGUACUUGUACUGACAUAUUUGGCACCAAGGAGACUGGCGGAGCCCAAGUCAUUCCCAGAAUCUCAAGCACUCUGCAAAUCUCACAAGGCUGUAGCCAAGCUGCCUCAUACUUCAGGCAAAUGGGAAGGGGAAGAGCGGCCACAGCAAACCCGCGUCGCCUUCUGCCUCUGUUGGGUGGGCACCGAGAAUGCUUCCCUACUUCUCUUGGGCAGCUCCAACGCAAUGUCCCUGGUUUAAACGGUACUGUGCUUCUGAUUCAGGAAUUCAAGCCCAGAAUUCCGAGCCGGAAAAUCCCUGUGUCCUUUUCUAUGACGUCGAGCCUAGAUUAGGCAGGUUAAGUUCCAAUGUGGGCCACAUCACCUUUCUUUUCCCCUAGGAUGACCCUUCUAGUACUGAUUCAUUCAUUCAGCAAAUACUGAGCCCAGACCACAAGCCAGGUACCAUGCCAGGCACUGAGGGUAUAGCAGUGAACAUGCCAGGCAAUAUCUCUGUGUCCCCACGGCACUUCUGCUCCAUGUAAACAUAAGUUCCAAGUAGAUAUGUAAACGAGCAGAGUACGUGCAGACUGUGGUUAGGUUCCACGAAGGGAGAAAUGGUGAUAUGACAGUAGGUAGGGAGUUGGCUGUAGACGGGCGGUCAGGCAAGGUUCUCUAAAGUGACAUUUACGUUGGUGUUAAAGGAUGAGGAACCAGCCACGGGAGGAGCAUUUCGUGGCAAAUGGACCAGUCACUGCAAGACGUAGGCGAGAACGCAUACAUCUCUUCUGCACAGAGAGACUCUGCAUGACUGUAGGACACUGCUUGGGGGGAGACUGAUGUGGAAGGAGGUUGGAGAGGUCAACACCAACAACAUAUACAGCCAAUUAAAAAAUGGGUAAGGACUGUGAACGGACGUUUCUCCGAAGAAGAGAUACAGUUGGCCAACAGGCACAUGGAAAGAUGUUCAACACCGCAGUCCUUGGGGAAAUGCAAAUCAGAACCACGGUCAGGCACCAUUUCACACGCAUCAGGAUGGCUACUCUCGAACAGAAGACAAGUGUUGGUGAGGGUGUGGGCAAACUGGAGCCCUCAUGCACGGCCGGUGGGAGUGUAAAAUGGUGCCGUCACUGUGCAAAACAGCAUGACAGUUCUUCAAAAAUUAAAGGCAAUUACCAUGUGAUCCAGUAACAUCACUUCUGGUUGUGACCCCAAAAGAACCGAAAGCAGGGUUUUGAAGAGUUAUCUAUCUGCACACCCAUGUUCAGAGCAGCAUUACUCAUAAUAGCCAAAAGGUGGAAGCAACCCAGGUCGGGUGUCUGUUACCAAUGAAUGGGUAAACAAAAUGUGGUGUAUGCAUGUAAUGGAAUGUCAUUUAUCCUUUAAAAGGAGGAGAAUUCUGACACAUGCUAUAACGUGGAUGAACUUUGAGGACAUUUUGCCAAGUGAAAUAAGAGCCACAAAAAAACAAACAUUGGGGCGCCUGGGUGGCUCAGUGAGCUGAGCCACUGACUCUUGA
Molecule: RNA transcript, 6579 nt
Organism: Ailuropoda melanoleuca (giant panda)
Lineage: Eukaryota; Metazoa; Chordata; Mammalia; Carnivora; Ursidae
Gene: GRAMD2A
Gene name: GRAM domain containing 2A
Exons: 14
Source: RefSeq, a predicted model, not a curated record